AGAAUUCAAGGUCCCAAAGACCCAUAUCAUACGACGAUAUCAACACAAUAUAAAAAGUUUUGACACCACAACAUAUAAAUAAACUCUAUAUACCAAUCACCUAACCGCGGGCCUUGAGCUCAGCAAGACGGCGAGACAGAUCAUCCUCAUCCACCUUCUCCUUCUCCCGCGCUGGAAUCGCAUGCGCCGAUGCCUGCGGCAGGUCAACCGACACCUCCAGCCCGUGCUGAUCCGCCACCUGCUGCAUCAGCAAAUUCACCUCACCUUCCGGCGUCGACAGGCUCGUAGAUCCCGCCAUCGCCCCCUCCAUGAACUCCGCCUGCACCUCCAUGUUCACAAACUGUUUCUCAAACUGAUCCAUGGUCUCUGACAUGCGCUGGAGGUUCCCGGUGGCGAGGGAGGAUUCAAGGGACUUGACGAUGGAUCCCAUGUUCUUGCCGAUGGAUUGCAUCUUGGCCUGGGUGUCGAGACGGGCGACGACGGCGUCGAGGCGGGAGGAGAGGCGGAGGUAGUUCAUCUGCUCGCUGCGCUUGCGG
Molecule: unclassified non-coding RNA, 536 nt
Filed under: Hevea brasiliensis (rubber tree)
Lineage: Eukaryota; Viridiplantae; Streptophyta; Magnoliopsida; Malpighiales; Euphorbiaceae
Source: RNAcentral